AUUGAACGCUGGCGGCAGGCUUAACACAUGCAAGUCGAGCGGUAACAGAGAGAAGCUUGCUUCUCUGCUGACGAGCGGCGGACGGGUGAGUAAUGCCUAGGAAUCUGCCUAGUAGUGGGGGAUAACUUGCCGAAAGGUAAGCUAAUACCGCAUACGUCCUACGGGAGAAAGGAGGGGACCUUCGGGCCUUUCGCUAUUAGAUGAGCCUAGGUCGGAUUAGUUAGUUGGUGAGGUAAUGGCUCAUCAAGACCGCGAUCCGUAACUGGUCUGAGAGGAUGAUCAGUCACACUGGAACUGAGACACGGUCCAGACUCCUACGGGAGGCAGCAGUGGGGAAUAUUGGACAAUGGGGGGAACCCUGAUCCAGCCAUGCCGCGUGUGUGAAGAAGGUCUUAGGAUUGUAAAGCACUUUAAGUUGGGAGGAAGAGCAGUUAACUAAUAUUUGACUGUUUUGACGUUACCGACAGAAUAAGCACCGGCUAACUUCGUG
RNAcentral lists this ribosomal RNA (490 nucleotides) under uncultured bacterium. Its description in RNAcentral is "partial 16S ribosomal RNA". It matches the Rfam family "Bacterial small subunit ribosomal RNA", at positions 30 to 507 of the family's 1533-position model. The record is from RNAcentral.